UUUUUUAUAAAUCAAAUUAUAUGAAUCCGAUUGAGGUGUGAAAUACAAAAUUAAUUGAAAGAACUUCAAAAAAUAUAUGGAAAACUAAAUUUAAUUUGUGAUGUCAUACAAAAUCAAUACAGUUGGCAUGCUCAUUCUUACAAUCAACUAUGCUAGAAUGAUUAAGUUGGUAGCCUAAGGAAUGGAACAAACGUACCACGCUACCAUACUUAGAUUUUAGACAAAAAUAAAAAUAGGGGAUGGUAAUAUACGGGUGUGAAAGUUGCGUAGGCAAUUUUCUAUCAGAGGACUAUCAAUUCUUUGAUAGUUUCAAGCUAAUAGUGUCGUUUGGCACUUGGGAGCCUUUGAUCUAGGCGGGAUACCUCUAUGUUGAGGUUGAGAGUGUUUGCUUCGAGUGCUAGGUAUUUUUAAAUAUUUGUCGUUGUUGACCAAUAUGAAAAUACUUCGACAUCACAAGCUGCUACUCCGCAAACUAAGAACCUCUCCCAUAUAGUGAUAGAUGUUAUCGUCAAAUUAUAAUUUCAUCUUCCUGAAGCCUUCCAUCCCAUUUCAAAUCGAACACUUGAUAACUUUGAACUCAACAUCUGUUGGAAAGAACAAACCCACAUCAAAUUUUUAAUUUUUAGUCACCAUCAAAAACAGAAAACUUAAUUAGAAAAUACCUAAAUCUGCAAUCUCGUUGCCUUCCAUCUCUUGGUGGAUCUACAAAAGCCUAGAAAGAGUUUAGCCAAAUAAGCUGCUGACUCUAAGGGCAAAAGGCUUUAGGAUGAACGUUGGAAGAAAUGGGGAAUGAAAGAUUCAAAAAAUUGAUAGAUGAAUAAAGAAUAAAAGGGUAUUUGCAUAUUUAUAGAUAGACGACAAUUUUUAACGCUCGUUAAUUAAUUUUUUCUUAAUUACUUACCAAAAAUUAGAUUUCCAUAAAAUAAAUCAAUUAAUAAAAUAAUAUCC
RNAcentral lists this long non-coding RNA (948 nucleotides) under Linum usitatissimum (flax). RNAcentral's name for it is "long non-coding RNA (LUSI_LNC002555)". The record is from RNAcentral. Lineage: Eukaryota; Viridiplantae; Streptophyta; Magnoliopsida; Malpighiales; Linaceae.